This 433-nucleotide ribosomal RNA is filed under the name uncultured bacterium. Its description in RNAcentral is "partial 16S ribosomal RNA". The stretch from base 12 to 344 matches the Rfam family "Bacterial small subunit ribosomal RNA", at positions 39 to 400 of the family's 1533-position model. The record is from RNAcentral.
AACGAACGCUGGCGGCAUGCCUAACACAUGCAAGUCGAACGAGACCUUCGGGUCUAGUGGCGCACGGGUGCGUAACGCGUGGGAACCUGCCCUUAGGUUCGGAAUAACUCCCCGAAAGGGGUGCUAAUACCGGAUAAUGUCUUCGGACCAAAGAUUUAUCGCCUUUGGAUGGGCCCGCGUUGGAUUAGCUAGUUGGUAGGGUAAAAGCCUACCAAGGCGACGAUCCAUAGCUGGUCUGAGAGGAUGAUCAGCCACACUGGGACUGAGACACGGCCCAGACAAGGAGGGGAGGAAGAAGUGGGGAAGAGGGGAAAGUGGGAGAGAGCUGGAUCGAGAAAGGCAGCGUGAAUGAAGAAGGACGGAGGGGGGUAAAGCGCGCGGAACCGGGAUGAGAAGGAGAGGGGAGAGAGAGUGAGAGAGGGCGAGGGACGAG